Molecule: long non-coding RNA, 263 nt
Filed under: Salmo salar (Atlantic salmon)
Lineage: Eukaryota; Metazoa; Chordata; Actinopteri; Salmoniformes; Salmonidae
Description: lncRNA (ENSSSAG00000095955.1)
Source: RNAcentral
GUCCAUUGGAGAAUAUUAUGAUACAUAAACAAGAGGAUAGCUGUGUUUCAUUGGAAAUGUGUGUGAGCCUAACUCGUAAGCCAUGUCUCUGGAGAUGGCCCAAUGGGAACAUCUGUGCAUGAUGAGGUAACCCAUAAGGACAGCCUCCCCUCUAAGAUAGUGUUGACGGUGAAGAUGGCUCCAUUCCAUGGUUUCCUGCAUAGGUCAACACCAGGGAGAAGAUCACCACUACCAGGGGACCAGAGAGUUUCUUCCAAGCGCAU